GUGGGUUAUGGGGACAUGCGGCCCGUCGGUGUCUGGGGUAAAUUGGUUGGUUCGCUAUGUGCCAUCGCCGGAGUGCUGACUAUCGCGCUCCCAGUACCGGUUAUCGUGUCCAAC
Strigamia maritima is the source of this 114-nucleotide non-coding RNA. Lineage: Eukaryota; Metazoa; Arthropoda; Chilopoda; Geophilomorpha; Linotaeniidae. The record is from Rfam.